AUUCGGUUGCCUUUCCUGAGGAGAGGUGGCAGGUGCUCAGCUCUGCAGGUGUCGGGGCAAGGAAGGACCAAGCGACCUGAGAAGAGCAGAGGUGCCCCAUGGGGACCACGCUGACUUGUCGCAUGUGCACCAAGGCCAGCCCCACUCAGGGCCCUCACAGGGCUUCUGCAGAGCCGUCCUGAGGCUCUGACAUCUAUGAGUCGGCGGCCAGCAGAGGCGCAGACCCCAGCACAGAGGAGCAGAGGCACCCGGAACAAGCUGUCCCUUAAUGCCACCCCAAGCGGGGCCAGCUCAGGAUGCGGUGUUUGGAGCAGUCCUGCAGCUCUGCGAUCCACGAGGUGGUGGUGGGAGUAGCGCCAGAGUCCACUGCUUUGGAGCCUGCCCCGUCUGAUUCAGGAGUCAUGACGACCAGAAGACGCCAAAAGGUAGGGAGACUACAGAUACCGCUUGGCCUUAGGAGCUCCUUUGGCAGUUGCUCACCCAUGGUUCCCCCCAGAGGCACCCACAGCCUAGGGCUCCUCCCUCCUGCCUCUAGUUUGCUUUCCUAGGCCCAGGCCCCAAGCAGGAGGACUUGCUCUGAUUCCACUCCCCAUCCAUUGUUCUUUCCCUGUUGCAUCCAGCUGGUUACUUUCCCUUGCCCUGUCCAAAUGCCCACUUCUGGGCCCUCUUCUUCUUUUCUUAGGCUGGUCAAAACUAAGACUUCAGAUUACAAAAUGUAUGCUACAGAUUUCAUUACGGUAGAGGAAAUAUGCGACAGCUCUUGUAUUUAAACUUAAGUAGCCACAUUGGGACUCCCAAUUUCAUAUUUUUCGUUGUAGAGCAGAGCUCUCUCUCCUAAAGUAAUGGCUGAGGGUUAGAGGUACUCUUCUUGAUUCUAAUAAUAAAAAAUGAUUUCUCAUAGAGACAGGGUCUCACUGUGUUGCCCAGGCUGGUCUCAAACCCCUGGCCUCAAGUGAUUCACUCACGUUGGCCUCCCGCUUUGUUGGGAUGACAGGCAAGAACCACCACACCUGGCCUUGGGAGCUGCUCCUGCUUUGUGUGUUUUGCCUGGUCUUCCUGCACAGCUGUCAGUAAGAUGCUCCUGCAGCAUAGUUCCAAAUCUUUCUGCACAAAUUUAGUGGAUGAUGUGAUUUUUUACAUGGAAUAGCCCCUUUAUUUAUUGCAGAGAAGCUGGACAAUUCACACUUAGUAACAUAUGGCCUAGCAAAUUUCAUUUCGUGAUCACCACACCUGUUAAAAGGUGAUGCUUGUGGUCUAAAUAUGCAGAUUCCUCAUCAUCCUCAAGGAAAAGGGAACCACUGCAAGAAAACCUGGGAGGGAGUUUAGGAUUGUCCUGAGGCAGUGCAAGCCACUGAAAUUCACACACAAGGGGUUAGAAAAGAGAAUCCACAUGUUCUCAUCUCUCCAUGUUCUGGGUAUAAUUUGGUCCUCCUUAAAUUGCACCAUUUUUGGCGUUAGAGAAAACUGGAUUUGAAUACCACUUCCAUCACUCUUUAUGAUGUGAUGGUGAAUGUGUUUUUAACUCAUCUGAGCCUCAGUUUGCUCAUCUAUAGAAGAUGUGAUUGUUGUAAGGCUUCCAUAAGGUAAGUGUGUAAAAACCAUGGCAAAAUGCUUGUAAUUUAAAAGAGAGGGUUAUUAUGAGGCUUCUAUAAGGUAAGUGUGUAAAAGUCUGGACAAAAUGUCUACUAUUUUGUAAGUGUUCAAUAUGUGGAUAAAGUGGAUUAUCUUUCUCUCCUUUUUAGACCACAAAUUUUUAGACCAAGUUUAUAAAAUUAGGGAUACUCCUAUUUCUUAGACAAUCAAACCAAUGAUCAGAAAGACUAGAUAAAUCACCAUAGUCACAAAGCAGUUCACAAUGCAUUUACUGGGUAAUUUCUAGUUAACAGUAGCAAUGAUGAUCACAUUGAAAAUCUUGUAUUUUGUGGUGGUUUUCUGUUACGUAAGCCUCUUGCUUUGUUGAAACCAUAGAUUCUAAGCUGCUUUGUCAAAGUGAUCAUUAGAAAAAUGUGAUGUAGUGUGUAAAUGUUAGAAAAUUUCUCCUGUUAGUCUUGCUAAUUUGAUUGAACAUGUGUGUCAUUUUCAAAAAUGUAAAUCAAAUAUAUGUGAAUGGGAUAUAUAUGUAUACAUAUGAAAUAUAACUUGAAUUAGAGAGUAGGCUUAGCUCAUGGCAAUGUUUUUUCUGAAAGCACCUGCAGAAAUCUCUCUUAUUUCUAGUUUGUUGAUGUUUCAGAGAUUAUGGAGAAAUGGCGGUUCUAUGAAUCUCAGACACUGCAUGAGGCAGAUUUGGUUUCAGUAAUUUUAGCAUCAUUCAUUGUAAGGUGAUGAUCCCUAGGAACUUCAUCACAGUGAGAAACCUGAAAGGUCCUAGCAGCCAGCAUGAAUGAAAGGUGGGGCGGGGCUGCUGGCAGGGCAGGGCCUUGUGAGCCAUAUGCCUGUGCUCUCAAGUUCCAGGAUUGUGGGGAUGCAUGCAGGGGAUUCUGGACCUGAUUGUUUCCUCUGAACCAGGAUGUGGUCUGGUUGGCAGGGCAACUGGCCUUCACUUGGUGGCCUUCAGUGGAUGCCCACAUUGGUUGCCUUCGGUUAGUGCACUCAGUUGGUACCCUCAGUUGUUUCUCUUCAGUUGGUGGUCUUCAAUUGUUGGGCAGUGGCAGAAGGAGGAUGAAUCCGUUUGUGCUCUCUCCUCCCCCAGUCACAGCUCUCAGGCUUGUUGCCCCCAGGCCCUCCUUCACUUGGUGGCCUUCAGUGGGUGCCCUCAUUGGUUGCCUUCGGUUAGUGCCCUCAGUUGGUACCCUCAGUUGUUUCUCUUCAGGUGGUGGUCCUCAGUUGGUGGUCUUCAGUUGUUGGGCAGUGGUGGAAGGAGGAUGAAUCUGUGCUCUCUCCUGCCCCAGUCACAGCUCUCAGGCUUGUUGCAUCCAGGCCUUUCUAAAAUAAACUGGACAGGUUGGCAGGAUUUUUUAGCAGACAAGUCAGCUCAGAGUAUGGGGGUGAUAUGGGGUGCAUGCUGCUAGCGCAGUGCCACCCCGUGGCCCAGGACUGCUUGUGCUAGCAAUGCUUUUGCCAGCAAGAGACGAUAGGUGUUGAGCUCUGCACACUUGGGGGCAACCAAAGGCCCAAGCUGCCCAAGAAGAGCAGGAGUGCCCCAUGGGGACCACAUUGAACUGUCGCAUGUGCACCAAAGCCAGCCCCAGUCAGGGCCGGCACAAGGGUUGUGCAGAGCCAGCCUGUGGCUCUGACGUCUAUGAGUGUGCAGACAGCGCAGACGCAGCCCGCAAUAUACAGGAGCAGAGUUGCCCUGAACACGCUGUCCCACAAUGCCAACCACAAAUGGGGCCAGCUAAGGGUGUGGUGGGAGAAGCCAUCCUGCAGCUCUGAGAUCCACAAAGUGGAGAUAGCAGUAGCACCAACUCCACUGCUUUGGAGGCUGCCCAGUCGAAUUUGGGAGCCAGCGAGGGACCUGACAGCAGCACAUUGGACACCAGAAGACACCCAAAGGUAGGGAGGUGGCAGAUACUGCUUAAGUUCAGGAGCUCCUCUGGCCAUUGCUGACCCAAAAUUCCCCCAGAGGCAUCCACAGCCUGGGGCUCCUUCCUCCUGCCUGGAGUUUGCUUUCCUAUGCCCAGGCCCCAAGCAGGAGGACUGGCUCUGCCUCGAGUCCUCACCCCUUCUUCUUUCCCUGCUGUGUCCAGCUGGUUUCUUACUUUCCUCCUACCUACCCCAAUGCUCAGUUCUGUUUCCUCUUCUUCUUCCCCCAGGCUGGCUGAAAACUAAGUUUCAAAAUACAAAAUGCGUGCUACAGAUUUCAUUGCUGUAGACGAAAUAUCUGACAGCUUUUCUAUUUAAACUCUGGUUGUUCUCUUCAUUUCUUUAAACAUUAGAAUAAUUAAGCCUCAUAAUAGAUGUGCCUUUGUAACUUGAAAGUAUGACCCUCAAUUUUCACAAUUAAAAAAAUUUAAUUUUUCUUUUCAUAAAUUUUUGGCACAGGUAGUAUUUAGUUAUUGAGUAACUCCUUUAGUGGAGAUUUGUGAGAUUUUGUUGCACCCAUCACCCAAGCAGUACACAUGGAAUCCAAUUUGUAGUCUCUUAUCUUUCUCCCCCUUCCCGCGGUUUUCCCCUGAGUAUCAUUCUUUUUUUUUGAGACUGAGUCUUAUUCUGUCACCCAGGCUGGAAUGCUACGUCGCGAUGUCAGCUCGCUGCAACCCUUGCUUCCUGAGUUCAUGUGAUCCUCCUGCUUCAGCCUCCUGAGUAGCUGGGAUUAGAGGUGUGGGUCACCACGCCCGACUAAAUUUUUUGUAUUUUUAGUAGUGACUGGCUUGCACCAAAUUGGCCAGUCUGUUCUCGAACUCCUGACCUCAAGUGAUCUGCCUGUCUUGGCCUCCCCUCAGGCAGGGAUUACAGGAAUCAGCCACCAGAACCCAGCCAAACUUUCCCCUUUUUUGUUGUUUUUUUUUUCUAAUUUCCUGAAGUCAUUCUUUGAGUUGUCAUGUAGAUUAAUGGGUUUCUCAAACUACUAGAAAACUAGUUGAAGAAAUAAACAGGCAUUUUGUGAAUAUUAAACAGGACAGUGGUGCUGAGCAUGGCUAAAGCAUCUCUGCAUUCACAGGGAGAGGAGUGGAAGACCUUCUGGUGUGGGCUGGGCAGCAAUUCACUUGAAGGAGAAACAGCCCGGGUGUGGAGAGGCGGCCAUCCUUGGCGGGAUCCUUUCUAAGGAGCCGAGAAAUCAACGUAGAGCUUCCUCUAUCUGAUUCUCUAACAACUGCAGACCUUCCAUGAGUCAAGCUUUGUGUCAAAAGGACAAAUUAAAAGGACCUAUAAAUGGCACCACCCAGCCCAAUGGACAGAUGCCCCAGGCUGCAGAUUCUGUCAGUGCUGUUCUCGAAGAGGCCCAGGCACAUGCUGAAACAUGGAAGGUAAAACCAGCAAGCAGCUGGCAUACAUUCCACCCAGCCGUCCCCCAGGAGAAUUGCUUGAGCUCCGGAGUUCCAGACCAGCCUGGGCAACAGAACAAGGGCUCAUCUCUACUAGAAAUCAAAAAAUUAGCCAGGUAUGGUGGCGUGCACCUGUGGUCCUAGCUACUUGGCUGGCUGAGGUGUUUGAAUUGCUUGAGCCCAGGAUUUCAAGGCUGCAGUGAGCUGUGAUCACACCACUGCACUCCAGCCUAUGUGACAGAUAAAUACCUUGUCAUAAAAAAAGAAAAAAAGAUAAAAAUGGAUUGCAUUUUCUAUUUUCCCCAUUAAUGUUCUACGUAUAUCCCCAGGGUGAUGGAGGAGAAAAUACAUUGUAAAAUAAUAGCCAAUAGGUAUGACAUCCUCCAUAACAUUUUUUCAACCGAAUAGAUCAAUGAGGAUUCACUUAAAUCUAUCUUAAAAUCAUAGCUAAUAAUCAUGAUUUAGUUGCUAAUCUAAUUCAAAACCUCUCAGUUGACUGUAUAAAUUCUGUUGAAUAUUUCUCAUGUGUGAUUCAAAACAACCUUAAAUAACUGUGACAAUAGCAUAUCACCCAGCUAGGACAGGCAGGGUGCUUCACUUUAGCAGUUUUUCACUUCUUUCACCCCUUCAUGUUGUCCAUCAGUCAGUCAUGAAAACAACUAAAUCUUGGUAUUUAUUGAACUUCUUAUAAUUUUGACAACCACUGCAGGCCUGUAAAAGUUGUAUUUCUUUAAUGUUCUCAUUAUCUUCUCAAGCCUGCGCUUCUCACGCAAUGUACUUUCAGCUGUUAUUAUUUUCAUUAUUUCCAUAAUGCCAAUCGAAGGAAAGCAUUUAAAAAUGCUGAAAGAAAUAAAAGAAUCCCAGAAUAGAAAUCACUUAACUAUAUGUGAACAUCAAUACCCAAGCUGCCUGUUCAGAAAUUUUUUAAAAAGGAAAAAGUACAUUGCCAGUUAAUUAGCUUAUCAUGCUAAGUAAAUAAACUAAAUAAAAUAGAAACUAAGUCAGAAGGCACUUCGUUAGAAAAAAAAUCUUCCAAAUUUAAUCUUCAGUGGUAACAGGCUAUUAAGCAGAGGAAGAAAUAAACUGGAGCCCUGAUGAAAUGUAAAUUGGAAUGAUAAUUAUCACUAAAACAGAGGGAUUCAAUCCAGCUGCCUGGGGAUGUUUCAUUAUAUAAAUACAAAUUAUUAUUAUCUAUGCCAGUAUUGGCAGAGGAAGGGCUAUGUCUCUAUUAGACUUUAGCCAAAUUUGGCAUUCUGGUUUCUACCAGUAGCACGCUGGUGAUUUUUCUUUUCAGAACUCAUAUAAGUAUCUCAUUUGAUCUCAUCACGAUCUGAGACACAGGUCAUAAUAGGGACUACAGGGCUCAUUUUAUACCCGGUGAACCAGCCAACUUUCAUGCAGUUGAGAAAAAGUAAACUGUCCAGGUGAGGCGGCUCACACCUGUAAUUCCAGCAUUUUGGGAGGCCGAGGUGGGCAGAUCACUUGAGCCCAGGAGUUGGAGACCAGCCUGGGCAACAUGGCAAAAAACCAUCCCUACAAAAAAUACAAAAAUUAGCUGGGCAUGGUGGCACAUGCUUGUCAUCCCAGCCACUUGGGAGGCUGAGGCAUGAGGAUCACUGAGCCCUAGAGGCAGAGGUUGCAGUGAGUCGAGCUUGCACCACUGCACUCCAGCGUGGGUGACACAGCGAGAUCCCGUCACAAAAAAAAAAAAAAAAAAAAAGACCAGGCGCGGUGGCUCAUGCCUGUAAUCCCAGCACUUUGGGAGGCAGAGGCAGGGCAGAUCAUGAGGUCAGGAGCUCAAGACCAGCCUGACCAACAUGGUGAAACCCCAUCUCCACUAAAAAUACAAACUUAGCUGGACGUGGUAGCCAGCACCUGUAGUCCCAGCUACUCGGGAGGCUGAGGCAGGAGAAUCGCUUAAACCCGGGAGGCAGAGGUUGCAGAGAGCCAAGAUGGCGCUACUGCACUCCAGCCUGGGCGACAGAGCAAAACUCUCUCUCAAUAAUAAUAGUAAUAAUAAUAAUAAUAAUAAUAAUAAUAAUAAUAAAGGCCAAUUAGAGUCAUUUCCCUAUUCCAGAGCAAAGAUGAGCUCAUGAACAACCAGGGUUCUCAGUGACUGAGGGACGGGGGCCCCCCAGGCAGCAGACAGAGACCUCACAUAUCUAUGGCAUGGUCUUGUCCACUGGGGCUCUUUUGUCAAGAAUAAAGAAUGCUACUCAGGAGACUGAGGCGGGAGGAUCGCUCAGGAGGUCGAGGUUGUGGUGAGCCCAGAUCGUGCCAUGCACUCAGCCUGGGUGACAGAGUGAGACCCUGUCCCCGUUAAUUAAUAACAAUAAAUUAAAAUUUCAAAAACUUUAAAAUAAUAAAUGCUGCUGUCGCUUGGUUGCAGGAUAAGAAGCCAGCCCUCGGGAACCACCAGGAGCCAGGAGCACCCCCGGCCCCCCAAGGCCCCAAGUCCAGCCUGCCCCACCCCCUCCGGUGCAGAGGUCCUGUGACACCAGUGGCAGCCCCGCCACACCCCCCAAGGCCAAGGGCACAGGCAGCGUGGUCUUCCCCGCCCCGCCCGACUACUUCCUGCCGCCACAGCCACCAAUGCCGCCCCUGGAGUACCCAGAGCUCCCGCUGCCGUCCCCGGACUUCAUGGAGACCCCCCUGGACUUCGUGCUCCCUCCCCUCGCUGUCGCCAAGAGGCCUCCUAUGCCCCACCCCCCCAACAGGCACGAAGCAUCAAUGUUCACAAGCAGCAAAUGAAUAAAAGUUAAACGUUCUUCCUACUGCAUUUCUAUAAGGAUUAUUGGGUCAGUCGAUCUUGAGGUCAACACUAUAAUUAAAACUAGCUUUCACCAUCCCAUGCCUUCUUAAGUCUUGGUGACCUUAGAUUUUCAGCUCUACCUCUGCGACCUUCAGAAUUUUCAGGAAAAUAGAGGAAAACGAGAAAACAUGACAAUCUCUUUCUCUGAGAUUCCUGUUGCUUGA
Molecule: long non-coding RNA, 7901 nt
Filed under: Homo sapiens (human)
Lineage: Eukaryota; Metazoa; Chordata; Mammalia; Primates; Hominidae
Description: non-protein coding lnc-APBB1IP-1:22
Source: RNAcentral